Molecule: long non-coding RNA, 609 nt
Organism: Leptopilina boulardi
Lineage: Eukaryota; Metazoa; Arthropoda; Insecta; Hymenoptera; Figitidae
Exons: 3
Source: RefSeq, a predicted model, not a curated record
UAGAAAGUGGCAUAAACCAUUCGAAUCAUUUAAUCGUUAUAUAAUAAUAUAAUUACGAUUGUUCUUAUACAAAUAUAUCAAAUGAAGUAUUCAAAUGUGAAAAAUAUUAUAUUUUAAGGAGAAAUAUGGGAAACUUAAAUAUAUUAAGAUUAUAUAGGAAAAAUAUAUGAAGUCGCCAAAUUCUAACCUCAAAAUAAUUCAACAAUUCUUUUGUUUUUUUGUUAUAAAUGAAGAAAAUUAAUAAAAUAAAUGAAUUACAAUGUUCUAUGAGAUGGAAGGAAACAUUUUUAAUAAUAAUACAGGGAAAAGUUUUGGAAGGAAGUGCAAAAAAACAAUAAAUUAAAAGGAAUUAUGAGUGCAAUUAAAUUGAUGAUCACCAUUUGGAAAUCUUCCUGAAAUCAGAAAAUAAUUAUACAAUAACAUUAAAUUACUUAUUAUAAAUAUUUUUAAUAUAUUACAGAAUUUGUAUUUCUUACCAGCCAGAGCUUUUAAAACAGACGCAACUUGAUGUGCCAUAAAAGAGUCAGGACCUGAUGUUGUCUCGUCACAAAACAUAAACGGAGGAUUCAUUAUAACUUCAGAACCAAAUAAAAAGUCGUUUCAUUUCUC